CGCAUCUGUGCAUGCAGCAUAUCAAUAAGCGGAGGAAAAGGAAACUAACAAGGAUUCCCUUAGUAACGGCAAGUGAAGCGGGAAGAGCUCAAAUUUGAAAUCUUCAAGGUUUUACCUUGACGAAUUGUAGUUUAAAGAAGUGUUUUCUGCUGAAGUUUUGGUAAAAGUUCUUUGGAAUAGGACAUCAUAGAGGGUGAGAAUCCCGUAUUUGACCAUUAUUUUCAGCUUUGUGAUACACUUUCAAAGAGUCGGAUUGUUUGGGAAUGCAGUCCAAAAUGGGUGGUAAAUUUCAUCUAAAGCUAAAUAUUGGCGAGAGACCGAUAGCGAACAAGUACCGUGAGGGAAAGAUGAAAAGAACUUUGAAAAGAGAGUUAAACAGUACGUGAAAAUUGUCAAAAGGGAAGCGUUUGACACCAGUGUUGUUUUCUCGAAAAUCAAUUAAAAAUGGCUCGAUUUUGUAUUGCUUGAGACCUUAAAAGCUCACUGUACAUUUUUCGUGUCUUUUUUAAUGCACUUUUCGUUUAACAAGUCAACAUCAGUUUCUUUUGUUGUAAAAGGGUCAUUGGAAGGUGGCUUUCUUUUCGGAGAAAGUGUUUAUAGCCUUUGGCCUCUGCAAUCGAAGAGACUGAGGUCUGCAGCGUAGACUCUUCGGGGUUAGAUACAUUUGUGCUAAGUUAUAGCUUUUUAUAGACAACUUGUUGACUAUAAUUAGUCUUGUAGCUUACUCGCUUAUGCUAUUUUACCUACGCUUAGGAUGUUGACGCAUGAGAUAUACGC
Molecule: ribosomal RNA, 777 nt
Filed under: uncultured Neocallimastigales
Lineage: Eukaryota; Fungi; Neocallimastigomycota; Neocallimastigomycetes; Neocallimastigales
Description: partial large subunit ribosomal RNA
Rfam family: Eukaryotic large subunit ribosomal RNA
Source: RNAcentral